UCGAGUUGAAAUAGGUGGCAGCGUUGGUGAGAGCGCAUGACGCCCGUGUGAUUUUGAUUCUCAACGACUGGAUUACGCGAAAUUGUUUACAAUUUCAAAACAAAAGGAAUCGGCGAAUUAUAUGUGUUGCGUAUGGCUUAGGUGUGCAAGUGAAAUGGAAUGCUUCUAACCACUCAUGUUGUUUGUUUUGGAAAUUACGCGUUGUAUUUUGUUAAUUAAAUGAAUCAAGUGUAUUUUUAUGUUAGUAAUAUAAAAUGAUAUUGUUUUAGAAAGUGAUAAGGUGAAAAAAUAUGCUUAAAGCAAGUGAUAACACUUCGGUAUCUCUAAAUGCUGUAAUUUCGUACAAACAAAAAAAUGAAAACGAAACGGAAAAGGUUUAUUGGCCGAAUAACACCAUGUUUGUAUCCCAAUUGAUCCAUAAUAUCCUUACGUUGAAAUGGGUGUGAUUGUGAUAGUAAACCAAUAUUUAUCACGAAUCGGAUUGUGGGACGAUUGGAAACACCGACUGUUCGAGCAGAAAUAAUGGAAGGAUCAAAACAUCACAUUCCCCGAUUCCGAAAGCACGAUACGAACAACAAUUCUUCUCGAAUGUUUUGAUACGUUAACGUAACCUGACGACGGCAACCAUAUCCACAAAAGCGGAAAGAAUUCGAAAAGACUCAUCAUCAUCACUUAAUCGAUGUGAAAUACUGUUGCGACAGAACAACGAACUUUUUUACGGUAUUUUGUGAUAGUAAUGUUCUGUGAUAGCUAUUAUUGAAAAAAGAUAAGCAUAACUGUUAAUAAAAUGAAAUUAAAUGUGGUAUUUUGCAUAAAUCUGGAACAGAA
Molecule: long non-coding RNA, 828 nt
Organism: Anopheles merus
Lineage: Eukaryota; Metazoa; Arthropoda; Insecta; Diptera; Culicidae
Exons: 2
Source: RefSeq, a predicted model, not a curated record